Molecule: ribosomal RNA, 263 nt
Filed under: uncultured bacterium
Lineage: Bacteria
Description: partial 16S ribosomal RNA
Rfam family: Bacterial small subunit ribosomal RNA
Source: RNAcentral
UACGUAGGUGGCAAGCGUUAUCCGGAAUUAUUGGGCGUAAAGAGGGAGCAGGCGGCAGCAAGGGUCUGUGGUGAAAGCCUGAAGCUUAACUUCAGUAAGCCAUAGAAACCAGGCAGCUAGAGUGCAGGAGAGGAUCGUGGAAUUCCAUGUGUAGCGGUGAAAUGCGUAGAUAUAUGGAGGAACACCAGUGGCGAAGGCGACGAUCUGGCCUGCAACUGACGCUCAGUCCCGAAAGCGUGGGGAGCAAAUAGGAUUAGAUACCC